AACGAACGCUGGCGGCAGGCCUAACACAUGCAAGUCGAGCGGACCCUUCGGGGUUAGCGGCGGACGGGUGAGUAACGCGUGGGAACGUGCCCUUUGCUUCGGAAUAGCCCUGGGAAACUGGGACUAAUACCGGAUACGCCCUUUUGGGGAAAGAUUUAUCGGCGAAGGAUCGGCCCGCGUUGGAUUAGGUAGUUGGUGGGGUAAUGGCCUACCAAGCCGACGAUCCAUAGCUGGUUUGAGAGGAUGAUCAGCCACACUGGGACUGAGACACGGCCCAGACUCCUACGGGAGGCAGCAGUGGGGAAUCUUAGACAAUGGGGGAAACCCUGAUCUAGCCAUGCCGCGUGAGCGAUGAAGGCCUUAGGGUUGUAAAGCUCUUUCACCGGGGAAGAUAAUGACGGUACCCGGAGAAGAAGCCCCGGCUAACUCCGUG
This 433-nucleotide ribosomal RNA is filed under the name uncultured bacterium. Its description in RNAcentral is "partial 16S ribosomal RNA". It matches the Rfam family "Bacterial small subunit ribosomal RNA", at positions 29 to 507 of the family's 1533-position model. The record is from RNAcentral.